This 685-nucleotide small RNA is filed under the name Histoplasma ohiense. Its description in RNAcentral is "hypothetical lncRNA". Lineage: Eukaryota; Fungi; Ascomycota; Eurotiomycetes; Onygenales; Ajellomycetaceae. The record is from RNAcentral.
UCCCCGGACCGUUUAAUUCUCCCACUUCCCAAGGAGUGAGGAUUCGGAUAGAAAUUAAAUCCUGAUAAAAAUAAACAAGUUCAUGCUCCUGCAAUUUGCAGGAAGGGAAUACGGAGAUUAUUCCCACAUGGGUGGUGGGUAUCCAGGAUGCUGAGGGGGGGGCCAAAAAAAAAAAAAAGUCCAACAGAAAAAUCCUUGCUUCCGCAGCAAAAGGAAGGAAAAAGCAACUGAACCAUUUGAGCUCGGCUUCUUCAACAUACGCCCAAGCGAUCGGCAAAUGCUGUAUGCACGAUGCCACUUUCGCUCCAGUGUUUUCCACUAGUCGGAAGACAUGAAUGAACUCAAAAACGCCGACUGGACUGAUGGAAUAAGCCAAGUUUUGAGCCAAUAGAUGGGAGCCAGGCGACAUGGAAAAGAAAAUGACAACGGACUGUUCCUCCAUGCUGGUAUGUUUCAUGUUCGCUGGGACGGCUGAACUCCUUCGGCACAACUAGGGAAGGCGAACGGCUUGGUGCUGAAAAGUGGAUCUGAGGGCCAAGGCAUUCGCCAAAAUUCCCCAGAUGUCGACGUGCAGUAGCGCGGGCAUGGAUUGCGACUUGGCCUACCAGCCAACGCCAACCAUUUCCCCAAGGCAUGUUGGUUGUUGGUGCAAAGAGAAGGAGCCCUGGUUCGGCAAAAUGGCAGG